GUGCCAGCCGCCGCGGUAAUACGUAGGGGGCAAGCGUUGUCCGGAAUCAUUGGGCGUAAAGCGCGUGUAGGCGGUUCAGUAAGUCUGCUGUGAAAGUCCAGGGCUCAACCCUGGGAUGCCGGUGGAUACUGCUGGGCUAGAGUACGGAAGAGGCGAGUGGAAUUCCCGGUGUAGCGGUGAAAUGCGCAGAUAUCGGGAGGAACACCAAUUGCGAAGGCAGCUCGCUGGGACGUCACUGACGCUGAGACGCGAAAGCGUGGGGAGCAAACAGGAUUAGAUACCCCUGUAGUCC
Molecule: ribosomal RNA, 292 nt
Filed under: uncultured bacterium
Lineage: Bacteria
Description: partial 16S ribosomal RNA
Rfam family: Bacterial small subunit ribosomal RNA
Source: RNAcentral